GAUGAACGCUGGCGGCGUGCCUAACACAUGCAAGUCGAACGGAGUUACUUUGGUGAAGUUUACGGAUGGAUCUGAUUUAACUUAGUGGCGGACGGGUGAGUAAUGCGUGAGCAACCUGCCCUUCAGAGGGGGACAACAGUUGGUAACGACUGCUAAUACCGCAUAAUGUAUUCGGAAGGCAUCUGCUGGAUACCAACGGAGAAAUCCGCUGAAGGAUGGGCUCACGUCUGAUUAGUUGGUUGGUGAGGUAACGGCUAACCAAGACUGCGAUCAGUGGCCGGACUGAGAGGUUGAACGGCCACAUUGGGACUGAGAUACGGCCCAGACUCCUACGGGAGGCAGCAGUGGGGAAUAUUGGGCAAUGGGCGAAGGCCUGACCCAGCAACGCCGCGUGAAGGAAGAAGGCCUUCGGGUUGUAAACUUCUUUUAAGAGGGACGAAGAAGUGACGGUACCACUUGAAUAAGCCACGGCUAACUACGUGCCAGCCGCCGCAGUAA
Molecule: ribosomal RNA, 498 nt
Filed under: uncultured bacterium
Lineage: Bacteria
Description: partial 16S ribosomal RNA
Rfam family: Bacterial small subunit ribosomal RNA
Source: RNAcentral